GCGAGCAUGGUCUAGUGGUUAUGACGCCUGCUUUACACGCAGGAGAUCCCGAGUUCGAUCCUCGGUGUUCGUAC
Molecule: transfer RNA, 74 nt
Filed under: Plasmodium ovale (malaria parasite P. ovale)
Lineage: Eukaryota; Apicomplexa; Aconoidasida; Haemosporida; Plasmodiidae
Description: Val transfer RNA (tac)
Rfam family: tRNA
About the family: Transfer RNA (tRNA) molecules are approximately 80 nucleotides in length.
Source: RNAcentral